AGGCAGAGUCUGUGUAUGUGGACACUCACUAUUUGACCCUUUCUUCAGUUUCUCUUGUCUGUCCUCCACAAGCAGAGACUCACUGAUAGACCGCUGUUACCCAUUCUAGGCCUGACACAUCCAAACACGACCACACCGCAAGUGUAUCCUUUACAGGUAUGCAAACGCAUCACAACGGUUUCCUUGGAGGAGACAUUCCUGCGGAAGCUUGAUGAGUACACACCUGGUCUUUUGCGGCUAAUGCGUGCCAAAGGAGGAGCAGCUGGUUGCAAGAUGCGUCCUCUGCUGGACAGUUUAAAUACACAGAACAUUGAGGAAAAAAGAGAUGCUGUUGUCUGCUGCCUCAUUAACUACCUCGGUGAAAGACAAGAAGAUCUUUUCCAUGAAUGGCAGGAAUGUGAGGAGUACACAGACAAAACAAUGAAGGUGAUUGUGAAGCACAAUGUCAUGGCUGAGGAGGACGAUUUGUCUAUUGUGAUCGAGGGAAACCAAGUGAUGGAAGGAUGUGGAAGCCGAACAAAGGCAUGCAUACUGCUGAUGGGACUCAUAUAUGCAAUCAACAUUGAAUAUCCAAAGGAGCUGAAGAACACAUUUGAAGCUUUUCAAAAACUUUUUUUGGAAAUUGAUGGGGCAAAACUUCUGAAGAAAGUCCACAGCCUCAAAAAUAAGCUUAUGCAGUAGACAUUUCUCUCCUUGUUUAAAGGGGAUUCUUUGUUUGGACAUACCUUGAUGGAGUUGUAAUGGACCGUUUUUAUAUUUUUCUUCUCUUCCCUCAUUUGCUCCACAUACAGACACAGACCCAUCCACUGUUUCUCAGCCCUCUCCAUUGCUCUGUGUUUUCCCCCAUAUUGACAGAAAAGGAAUACUAAUAGAUAGUGGCCUGAACAAUUUUGAUCUCACCUACCCUCUUCCCCAUUUGUUUGCUUAUUUCAUUCUGAUCCUAUCUGCGAGAGUGAGAGUAAGGACAAAAAAAAAAUGAUGGUAUUUUGUUUUUCUUUUAUCUUUUUUUAUAUUUAAUAUUGUACAUGCACAGAA
RNAcentral lists this long non-coding RNA (1035 nucleotides) under Danio rerio (zebrafish). RNAcentral describes it as "lncRNA si:ch211-133d24.25 (ENSDARG00000041007.6)". Lineage: Eukaryota; Metazoa; Chordata; Actinopteri; Cypriniformes; Danionidae. The record is from RNAcentral.